Molecule: unclassified non-coding RNA, 326 nt
Organism: Cricetulus griseus (Chinese hamster)
Lineage: Eukaryota; Metazoa; Chordata; Mammalia; Rodentia; Cricetidae
Gene: 7SK
Rfam family: 7SK RNA
About the family: 7SK was discovered as an abundant small nuclear RNA in the mid-70s but a possible function has only recently been suggested.
Source: Ensembl
GGAUGUGAGGGUGAUCUGGCUGUGACAUCUGUCACCCCAUUGAUGGCCAGGCUUGAUUCAGCUGAUCUGGCUGGCUAGGCAGGUGUCUUCUUCCUCCUUCACCACUCCAUAUGUGUCCCUCCCAAAACUGAGCACUCGGUCAAAGAGGACGAUGUUCCCUGAAUAGAGGAGAAUGGGUCUUCUGUCAAGGGUAUACGAGUAGCUGCACUCCCCUGCUAGAACCUCCAAACAAAGAGAAACUGAAUUGCUGGAAGAACAUCAGACUAGGUUUGAAGAGAUCUAAAUUCUCAUCCUCACUAUGUACCAGAUGUGUGAUGAUGGAAAGU